AAGUCGUAACAAGGUUUCCGUAGGUGAACCUGCGGAAGGAUCAUUAUCACGUAUCCACGUUUAUCAACCAUUGUGAACUGUAUUUUUGACCUUUAAGAAAUUUUAAUAUAUACUUCCCUUUAAUGUGGAGAAUAACGUUUAUUGUUGAUUUGAGUUAUUCCGUAUAUGUUAUUACUAAUUUCUUAAAGUGUAUUUUUCAAAUCACUUUUAUUAUUAACAAUUUAAACCCAAAUAAACUUUUUAUUUGAACUGAAUUAAUUUCAUUUUUCUUUUUUAAUUAAAAGGGACUGAAAUAAAAUUUUACGAAACAUAAGAACAACUCUUAGCAACGGAUAUCUUGGUUCUC
Molecule: unclassified non-coding RNA, 346 nt
Filed under: fungal sp.
Lineage: Eukaryota; Fungi
Description: partial internal transcribed spacer region
Rfam family: Eukaryotic small subunit ribosomal RNA (bases 1-46)
Source: RNAcentral